This 402-nucleotide unclassified non-coding RNA is filed under the name uncultured fungus. Its description in RNAcentral is "partial contains 5.8S ribosomal RNA and internal transcribed spacer 2". The stretch from base 1 to 133 matches the Rfam family "5.8S ribosomal RNA", at positions 22 to 154 of the family's 154-position model. The record is from RNAcentral. Lineage: Eukaryota; Fungi.
UGGCUCUCGCAUCGAUGAAGAACGCAGCGAAAUGCGAUAAGUAAUGUGAAUUGCAGAAUUCAGUGAAUCAUCGAAUCUUUGAACGCACCUUGCGCUCCUUGGUAUUCCGAGGAGCAUGCCUGUUUGAGUGUCUUGAAGUCAUCAACCCCCCACGUCUUCUUGGACGUGGUGCGCGUUGGACGUUGGGGGCUUGCGGCCGUGAGGCUGCUCCCCUCAAAUCUGUUGGUUGGGCCUGUGGGUCGAACUCGACUGGGCGUUGUACCAUCCUCGCUCCGAACGAGAUGUUCCCUCCUUUGUGUGAGCGCAACCCUGGACCUGCCUCUUCCGAGUGGGGGGGCGGUCAAGGAGCAAAUGCUCUUUUCUUGAAACUCUGACCUCAAAUCAGGUAGGACUACCCGCUGA